UGGGGGAAUUUUGGACAAUGGGGGGAAACCCUGAUCCAGCCAUCCCGCGUGUGCGAUGAAGGCCUUCGGGUUGUAAAGCACUUUUGGCAGGAAAGAAACGUCGCGGGUUAAUACCCCGCGGAACUGACGGUACCUGCAGAAUAAGCACCGGCUAACUACGUGCCAGCAGCCGCGGUAAUACGUAGGGUGCAAGCGUUAAUCGGAAUUACUGGGCGUAAAGCGUGCGCAGGCGGUUCGGAAAGAAAGAUGUGAAAUCCCAGAGCUUAACUUUGGAACUGCAUUUUUAACUACCGGGCUAGAGUGUGUCAGAGGGAGGUGGAAUUCCGCGUGUAGCAGUGAAAUGCGUAGAUAUGCGGAGGAACACCGAUGGCGAAGGCAGCCUCCUGGGAUAACACUGACGCUCAUGCACGAAAGCGUGGGGAGCAAACAGGAUUAGAUACCCUGGUAGUCCACGCCCUAAACGAUGUCAACUAGCUGUUGGGGUCUUCGGACCUUGGUAGCGCAGCUAACGCGUGAAGUUGACCGCCUGGGGAGUACGGUCGCAAGAUU
RNAcentral lists this ribosomal RNA (549 nucleotides) under uncultured bacterium. Its description in RNAcentral is "partial 16S ribosomal RNA". It matches the Rfam family "Bacterial small subunit ribosomal RNA", at positions 354 to 895 of the family's 1533-position model. The record is from RNAcentral.